RNAcentral lists this ribosomal RNA (1370 nucleotides) under Microbacterium sp. RNAcentral describes it as "bacterial SSU rRNA". It matches the Rfam family "Bacterial small subunit ribosomal RNA". The record is from RNAcentral. Lineage: Bacteria; Bacillati; Actinomycetota; Actinomycetes; Micrococcales; Microbacteriaceae.
UUGCUUGGUGGAUCAGUGGCGAACGGGUGAGUAACACGUGAGCAACCUGCCCUGAACUCUGGGAUAAGCGCUGGAAACGGCGUCUAAUACUGGAUAUGAGCUGCGGAGGCAUCUUCGUGGUUGGAAAGAUUUUUCGGUUUGGGAUGGGCUCGCGGCCUAUCAGCUUGUUGGUGAGGUAAUGGCUCACCAAGGCGUCGACGGGUAGCCGGCCUGAGAGGGUGACCGGCCACACUGGGACUGAGACACGGCCCAGACUCCUACGGGAGGCAGCAGUGGGGAAUAUUGCACAAUGGGCGGAAGCCUGAUGCAGCAACGCCGCGUGAGGGAUGACGGCCUUCGGGUUGUAAACCUCUUUUAGCAGGGAAGAAGCGAAAGUGACGGUACCUGCAGAAAAAGCGCCGGCUAACUACGUGCCAGCAGCCGCGGUAAUACGUAGGGCGCAAGCGUUAUCCGGAAUUAUUGGGCGUAAAGAGCUCGUAGGCGGUUUGUCGCGUCUGCUGUGAAAUCUGGGGGCUCAACCCCCAGCCUGCAGUGGGUACGGGCAGACUAGAGUGCGGUAGGGGAGAUUGGAAUUCCUGGUGUAGCGGUGGAAUGCGCAGAUAUCAGGAGGAACACCGAUGGCGAAGGCAGAUCUCUGGGCCGUAACUGACGCUGAGGAGCGAAAGGGUGGGGAGCAAACAGGCUUAGAUACCCUGGUAGUCCACCCCGUAAACGUUGGGAACUAGUUGUGGGGUCCAUUCCACGGAUUCCGUGACGCAGCUAACGCAUUAAGUUCCCCGCCUGGGGAGUACGGCCGCAAGGCUAAAACUCAAAGGAAUUGACGGGGACCCGCACAAGCGGCGGAGCAUGCGGAUUAAUUCGAUGCAACGCGAAGAACCUUACCAAGGCUUGACAUACACGAGAACGCUGCAGAAAUGUAGAACUCUUUGGACACUCGUGAACAGGUGGUGCAUGGUUGUCGUCAGCUCGUGUCGUGAGAUGUUGGGUUAAGUCCCGCAACGAGCGCAACCCUCGUUCUAUGUUGCCAGCACGUAAUGGUGGGAACUCAUGGGAUACUGCCGGGGUCAACUCGGAGGAAGGUGGGGAUGACGUCAAAUCAUCAUGCCCCUUAUGUCUUGGGCUUCACGCAUGCUACAAUGGCCGGUACAAAGGGCUGCAAUACCGCGAGGUGGAGCGAAUCCCAAAAAGCCGGUCCCAGUUCGGAUUGAGGUCUGCAACUCGACCUCAUGAAGUCGGAGUCGCUAGUAAUCGCAGAUCAGCAACGCUGCGGUGAAUACGUUCCCGGGUCUUGUACACACCGCCCGUCAAGUCAUGAAAGUCGGUAACACCUGAAGCCGGUGGCCCAACCCUUGUGGAGGGAGCCGUCGAAG